UGAGGAAUAUUGGUCAAUGGGCGCAAGCCUGAACCAGCCAUCCCGCGUGCAGGAAGACGGCCCUAUGGGUUGUAAACUGCUUUUCCAGGGGGAGAAUUUUUCUGUCGUGACAGGAAUUGACGGUACCCUGGGAAUAAGCAUCGGCUAACUCCGUGCCAGCAGCCGCGGUAAUACGGGGGAUGCGAGCGUUAUCCGGAUUUAUUGGGUUUAAAGGGUGCGUAGGCGGAUUGAUAAGUCAGUGGUGAAAACCUGCAGCUUAACUGUAGACUUGCCGUUGAUACUGUUGGUCUUGAGUAUGGUCAAGGUAGGCGGAAUGUGUAAUGUAGCGGUGAAAUGCUUAGAUAUUACACAGAACACCGAUUGCGAAGGCAGCUUACUGGACCAUCACUGACGCUGAGGCACGAAAGCGUGGGGAUCGAACAG
This 423-nucleotide ribosomal RNA is filed under the name uncultured bacterium. RNAcentral's name for it is "bacterial SSU rRNA". It matches the Rfam family "Bacterial small subunit ribosomal RNA", at positions 355 to 775 of the family's 1533-position model. The record is from RNAcentral.